This 1691-nucleotide long non-coding RNA is filed under the name Homo sapiens (human). Its description in RNAcentral is "HSALNT0078070". The record is from RNAcentral. Lineage: Eukaryota; Metazoa; Chordata; Mammalia; Primates; Hominidae.
AAGGUAACUUAUCCCUGUCUAGCUGAUAUGUAAAAAGUAUAAAAAGGUAACACCAACAAAACAGUUUGAAGGCAAAAAUCACAAAUAAUAAUUCAAAAACAAAUAUAAGGAAAAGACACAUGCAGUAAUCUGAAAUACAGAUUGUUUCUGAUGCUUGAAGAAAAAAACCCAUUUCAUGCUAAUAUAAAUAUUAUGCUUUUAGGUGAAAAAACGCACUGCUUAUUUUCUUCAAGUCAAAAUGCCUUAAAGGAGCAGUAUCUUGAAUGUGACGUGGCAGACUCAAGGGGAUGCUCUUCAACAUAAAGCAUCAGAAGCCUGAGUAACAUUUUCUGAUCUUGACUCUACGUGACAAGUCGAAAAGAAUUUUUUUCAAUUUAGUUUUUACCAAGUCAGAUUCUAUUUGACAAUAUGGCAGCACUACACAUGGAAAGUAACUUAUUACUUUGGGCAUCUAGUUUAAAUAGAGACAAUCCAUAAUGUGCAUGUGAAAAAAAAUGGCCACUGUUCUUGAAGCAUUGCCCUUGAGCAAGCAACAAGUUUAAAUCUGUCAGUGUGGAAGAAAUUGUUUUUUCUUAAUUGCUUAAUUGUUAACCCUAGGAGAAAAUGACAAUAAAAUUCUACUUCAAAAUGUUUAUGUUUUUGGAAUUACAGGUACAUGUAGAAACCAUAAGUGGAACACUGUAUUAACUGAAUAUCAUUGAGAAACUUCAAGCAAACAUGUUACUGAUAUAAAUUAAAGAAUAAUUGAAAAGGAAAAGACCUCCUUCCUUUUUUCCCCAAAAGAUUAAAACUUCUGCAUAGGUCGCUUCCAAGAUGGACGAAUAGGAACAACUCCAACCUACAGCUCCCAGCGAGAUUGAUGCAGAAGAUGGGCGAUUUCUGCAUUUCCAACUGAGGUCUCUGAAGAAUCUCCAUACCAUCUUCCACAAUUGUUGAACUAAUUUACACUUCCAGUAACAAUGUGACCAACAACACAUGGAAGCUGCCAAGGCUUGGGGUUUACACCCUCUGAAGCAAUGGCCUGAGCUGCACCUUGGACCUUUUUAGCCAAAGCUGAAGCAGCUGAGAGGCAAGGCCCCAAGUCUCAGGCUUCACACAGUAGGGGGCACCUGGACCUAGCCCAGGAAACUAUUUUUCCCUUAAUGGCAUACCCUCCCAUCACAGGCCCAGAAGCCUAGGACAUAACCUGGAGGCAUUUUCCCCUUUGUCUUGGUGAUUAGAUGCAGCACCCCCAGGGGGAACUUUGCCCCUCCCAUUUGGGCACAACCACUGAAGACUUCCUCAUCUUUGCCACAUAAAAGCCCCAGAACACAGCCCCAUUUCUGGCAACCCUCUUUGGGUCCCCUCUCUUUGCUGAGAACUUUUCUGUUGCUUAAUAAAACUUUGCUCUACAUUAUUCCUUCUCUGGUGUCUGCGUGCUUUAUUCUUCUUGGUCAUGGGACAAGAACUUAGACCUAGUUGAACUGAGGAGCGAUUAGGCUGCAACACUAAUAUCAACCAAAAAAUUAGAGAACAAAGGGCAAACAGACCUCAAAGCUAGCAGAAGACAAGAAACAACCCAAAUCAGAGCAGAUCUGAAGGAGACGGAGACACAGUAAAACUACCCUAAGAACAAUGAAUCCAGGAGGUUGUUUUUUUAAAAAAUUAAUAAAAUAGCUCACCAGCUAGACUAAUAAAGAAGAAAAGAGAAG